This 254-nucleotide ribosomal RNA is filed under the name uncultured bacterium. RNAcentral's name for it is "partial 16S ribosomal RNA". It matches the Rfam family "Bacterial small subunit ribosomal RNA", at positions 524 to 776 of the family's 1533-position model. The record is from RNAcentral.
UACGUAGGGUGCAAGCGUUAAUCGGAAUUACUGGGCGUAAAGCGUGCGCAGGCGGUUUUGUAAGUCUGUCGUGAAAUCCCCGGGCUCAACCUGGGAAUUGCGAUGGAGACUGCAAGGCUAGAAUCUGGCAGAGGGGGGUAGAAUUCCACGUGUGAGCAGUGAAAUGCGUAGAGAUGUGGAGGAACACCAGCGGCGAAGGCGGCGCUCUGGGCCGGAACUGACGCUGAGGAGCGAAAGCGUGGGUAGCAAACAGG